RNAcentral lists this ribosomal RNA (491 nucleotides) under uncultured bacterium. Its description in RNAcentral is "partial 16S ribosomal RNA". It matches the Rfam family "Bacterial small subunit ribosomal RNA", at positions 28 to 507 of the family's 1533-position model. The record is from RNAcentral.
GAUGAACGCUGGCUACAGGCUUAACACAUGCAAGUCGAGGGGAAACGACGGGGAAGCUUGCUUCCCCGGGCGUCGACCGGCGCACGGGUGAGUAACGCGUAUCCAACCUGCCUCUGACUGAGGGAUAACCCGUCGAAAGUCGGCCUAAUACCUCAUGGUAUCGUCUGCGGGCAUCCAACGACGAUUAAAGAUUUCAUCGGUCAGGGAUGGGGAUGCGUCUGAUUAGCUUGUUGGCGGGGUAACGGCCCACCAAGGCUACGAUCAGUAGGGGUUCUGAGAGGAAGGUCCCCCACAUUGGAACUGAGACACGGUCCAAACUCCUACGGGAGGCAGCAGUGAGGAAUAUUGGUCAAUGGGCGAGAGCCUGAACCAGCCAAGUAGCGUGCAGGAAGACGGCCCUAUGGGUUGUAACCUGCUUUUAUGCGGGGAUAAAGUGAGGGACGUGUCCCUCAUUGCAGGUACCGCAUGAAUAAGGACCGGCUAAUUCCGUG